GCCAGCAUAGCAUAGUGGUUUGAGUGUUGGACUAUGGCUCUGGAGACCCAGGUUCUAUUCCCAGUAUGGCCA
Non-coding RNA from Phrynosoma platyrhinos (Desert horned lizard), 72 nucleotides. The record is from the annotation of a GenBank genome assembly. NCBI's taxonomy places the organism in Eukaryota, Metazoa, Chordata, Lepidosauria, Squamata, Phrynosomatidae.